UACAGAGGUGGCAAGCGUUGUUCGGAAUUACUGGGCGUAAAGGGCGCGUAGGUGGCCUUCUUAGUCAGACGUGAAAUCCCCAGGCUUAACCUGGGAACUGCGUCUGAUACUGGAAGGCUCGAGUUCGGGAGAGGAAUGUGGAAUUCCAGGUGUAGCGGUGAAAUGCGUAGAUAUCUGGAGGAACACCGGUGGCGAAGGCGGCAUUCUGGACCGAAACUGACGCUGAGGCGCGAAAGCCAGGGAGCAAGCAGG
Molecule: ribosomal RNA, 252 nt
Filed under: uncultured bacterium
Lineage: Bacteria
Description: partial 16S ribosomal RNA
Rfam family: Bacterial small subunit ribosomal RNA
Source: RNAcentral